This 748-nucleotide ribosomal RNA is filed under the name uncultured cyanobacterium. Its description in RNAcentral is "bacterial SSU rRNA". It matches the Rfam family "Bacterial small subunit ribosomal RNA", at positions 1 to 795 of the family's 1533-position model. Lineage: Bacteria; Bacillati; Cyanobacteriota. The record is from RNAcentral.
GCUUAGAGUUUGAUCCUGGCUCAGGAUGAACGCUGGCGGCGUGCUUAACACAUGCAAGUCGAACGAAGUCUUUCGGGACUUAGUGGCGGACGGGUGAGUAACGCGUGAGGAUCUGCCCUUAGGUAGGGGACAACAGUUGGAAACGACUGCUAAUACCGUAUAUGGCGAGAGCUGAAAGAUUUAUCGCCUGAGGAUGAACUCGCGUCUGAUUAGCUAGUUGGGGGUGUAAGGGACUCCCAAGGCGACGAUCAGUAGCUGGUCUGAGAGGAUGAUCAGCCACACUGGGACUGAGACACGGCCCAGACUCCUACGGGAGGCAGCAGUGGGGAAUUUUCCGCAAUGGGGGCAACCCUGACGGAGCAACGCCGCGUGGGGGAGGAAUGUCUGUGGAUUGUAAACCCCUUUUCUCAGGGAAGAAGCUCUGACGGUACCUGAGGAAUCAGCAUCGGCUAACUCCGUGCCAGCAGCCGCGGUAAUACGGAGGAUGCGAGCGUUAUCCGGAAUUAUUGGGCGUAAAGCGUCCGUAGGCGGUUAGUUAAGUCAGUUGUUAAAGACUACAGCUCAACUGUGGGAGAGCAACUGAAACUGAUUAACUAGAGUGCGAUAGGGGUAGAGGGAAUUCCCAGUGUAGCGGUGAAAUGCGUAGAUAUUGGGAAGAACACCAGUGGCGAAGGCGCUCUACUGGGUCGCAACUGACGCUGAGGGACGAAAGCUAGGGGAGCGAAAGGGAUUAGAUACCCCUGUAGUC